This is a long non-coding RNA of Hevea brasiliensis (rubber tree), 1794 nucleotides long. RefSeq lists it as uncharacterized. Lineage: Eukaryota; Viridiplantae; Streptophyta; Magnoliopsida; Malpighiales; Euphorbiaceae. The transcript is spliced from 3 exons. The record is from RefSeq and is a predicted model, not a curated record.
GCUUGAUUUAUUGCUUUAUUACUGUAUUAGCGUGGCCUAGUGACAUGUAAACCUACGUGGAUGAUAAUCAACCGUCCGAUUUCCAGAUGAAUGGCCUCCUCACUAAGCACAAAUUUUUUUGGAAAAAGAGGUUGAUAUCCAAUGGUACCGUCAAAAUAUAAUUAUAAAUAAAAAAUUUAUUUAUUUAUUUAUUUAUAUUCCUAAUUAUCUCUUGCCUCGCAUAUUGUACUGGCCUUUUUUUUUUCCCCCUCCUGAACGUGGAAUCCGAAAAGGCAUCUGUCUAAGGUUGGCGAAGGUUCACGAUUCUCCGUAUCUCUAGCUCUCAGUUUUCUUUUGAAAUUCGUCUGUGAGAGAUCCUUCACUAUCCACUGGUAUUCCCCUCCCCAGCUUUGUGAGAGGAGAGGAGAGGAGAGGCGAGGGUUUUAUUUUUAUCUUUUUUUUUUUUUUUGGUUUUAAUGGAUUUGGAUCUGAGUUUGGAACGCUUACCUGCUUGUCAAUUUGGGUGUUUGGUUGAGAAGGUGAAAUGGUAAAUCUAUUCUAAUAAUAUAGUGCAAGAAGCCCUUACUUUUGUUUCUUAAUACUUAUUCCUUGCUUUUGUUUCUUAAUACUUAUUCCACUGUCCCAGCAUGUCUAAUUUCAUAGCUUGCAUUCAUAGUUCAAAAUGAAUUAUUAUUUUCUGGACUUUCUAGCUUGUAAGAGGUUGCUGUUCUAUUUAUGAAAUCUAGAAUAACAAAUACUGGUAUCAUAGUUGUUUAAAAAAUUAAGGUGUGGAUCAGUGUCCUCUUUUUGUUUUUCCAGAUGAUGGGGUAAGCCAACUUCUAUUUUUCUGAUUAAAAUCAUUUCUUUAUGCAUAUUUGCUUAAUUUUCUUAAUUAUAUUAUUUAUAUUUGCCUUUGCUAAUUCUAUAAUUUGCUGCAGUACUUGAUAACUGCCAUUGUUAAUUUUACGUGUAGAAGAGAUUUCAUUUAUUCUGCUUAUAAAAUUUAGUAUCCCAAUUUUUAGAGAAAUUUUGAUUUUUCCUUUAGCAUGAUAUGAUGUGGUUUUAUAAGUUUGAAUUUAUUCAUGGUGUCUAUAGUUGGACACUGUUGGUUAAUGACAAUCAUAACAAUCUCACUGAUACUGUUUUACGUUGGCUUGCAAGAUCUUAUGCUUUGAAGAAAGUUUUGGCAACUCAUAUUCUCUCUUGGUAAGGAAUGCAAGACAUCUAUAAUAAUUUCCCUUCCGCCAUGAUUGUUUUACUAUAUGUUUUUACAAUGUGUAUAUGCUCCUAUUUUAGCAGAUAAUUUCCAAGCUUUGACAUCAUUGGUUGACAACGAGAGAGAGCACGUUUGUCAACAUUUCAUGCUAGUGACAUGACUGUUUACAUGCGUGCUCUCUAACGUUGUCAUAAAAUGUGCUCAAAGUAGGUUUCUUUCACUUUCUCCAUGUUCAUUGGCAGGGGGACAAGCAGAUGUGAUGUUUAACACUGUUUGGGAGGAGGUUUUUGGAGGUAAGGUGUGGGUUUUCAAGGUAAUGUGUAUAUAGUUGACAUGUUUGGGAGCAAAGUUUUUCAAUGAGGUAAGGUUUUUGAGGUUUUUCAAAGCCUCCAAAACCUUUACUUUUCAGCCAUAUAUAUAUAGAUUUUGAAGAUUUUAAUAAAUAAUAAAUUUUAUAUUACACAUAUUAUCCUUAUUAUAUAUUUCUAAAUUAACUCUUUUACAUUGGCUAUAUUCUUCUUUUCUCUCUUUCAUUAUAGUAAAACUCAAUUGUAACACUAUUAUCCUAAUAACAUAAUUUAGGAAGCGUUAACAUAUAU